This 426-nucleotide ribosomal RNA is filed under the name uncultured bacterium. Its description in RNAcentral is "bacterial SSU rRNA". It matches the Rfam family "Bacterial small subunit ribosomal RNA", at positions 30 to 452 of the family's 1533-position model. The record is from RNAcentral.
AUUGAACGCUGGCGGCAUGCCUUACACAUGCAAGUCGAACGGCAGCACGGGAGCUUGCUCCUGGUGGCGAGUGGCGAACGGGUGAGUAAUAUAUCGGAACGUACCCUAGAGUGGGGAUAACGCAGCGAAAGUUGCGCUAAUACCGCAUACGAUCUACGGAUGAAAGUGGGGGAUCGCAAGACCUCAUGCUCAUGGAGCGGCCGAUAUCUGAUUAGCUAGUUGGUGGGGUAAAGGCCUACCAAGGCUUCGAUCAGUAGCUGGUCUGAGAGGACGACCAGCCACACUGGAACUGAGACACGGUCCAGACUCCUACGGGAGGCAGCAGUGGGGAAUAUUGGACAAUAGGGCGAAAGCCUGAUCCAGCAAUGCCGCGUGAGUGAUGAAGGCCUUAGGUUGCAAAGACUCUUUUUACCCGACGAUGAUAAU